This 682-nucleotide long non-coding RNA is filed under the name Brassica napus (rape). RNAcentral's name for it is "long non-coding RNA (BNAP_LNC011471)". The record is from RNAcentral. Lineage: Eukaryota; Viridiplantae; Streptophyta; Magnoliopsida; Brassicales; Brassicaceae.
UUAGGGUAAUUUGAGUGAUAUCAACCGGGCAAGACUAAACACUUCAAUCGACCGGUUUUAUAUAACUGAUUCAACUAUGCAGUUCAUGAUUUAGUACAGCUACUAAGGGAAAUUCAGAACAGGUUCAGUUUAGACUAAGUUUGGUUCAAACUAUAUCAGUAGCUGAGAAGUUUCAGAACAAUAAUCUGAUCCGUCCAUCAGUUCAGUCCGGUUCAGAGACAAGUCGUCAGCUAAAUGAUUUAGGUGCUAGCGGACCAUGAACUGGACUAAUAUCAAUCCACAUAAGCCUUAAUCAAACUGAUCCAGAUAGGUCAUUCAUCAACCAAUAACCGGCUUCAUUCAGAACUGAUCUAACAGCAAGAAGCUAAGGCUUACCGGCUAUACUAAACUGAUUGGUGAACACAGCUGAUCCUCUCCUUCAAUCUUUACUGACACUGACCUGAUCAGAAUAAAGGUUCCAUGGUAGGUUUAAGAUCAGAAACAUAACAUGGCUUAGGUUUUAAUCAGACAUGAAGCUUCCUUAAAAACUGAUCCAAAUAAACUAAUUAUAUUCUUACCGAUUCAAACUCAAGACUGAUAAGUUGUGGACUGAUCUCAUGAAUCUCUUGAACCAUCUCAAAAUUUUCCACACACCACAACCACUGAUUCAAGGCACAAGAAGGUUAGAAACGGUCGUCCAGGC